RNAcentral lists this ribosomal RNA (46 nucleotides) under Mesorhizobium sp. M7A.F.Ca.CA.004.05.1.1. RNAcentral describes it as "partial 23S ribosomal RNA". Lineage: Bacteria; Pseudomonadati; Pseudomonadota; Alphaproteobacteria; Hyphomicrobiales; Phyllobacteriaceae. The record is from RNAcentral.
GGGCGUUCAGUUCGUCGCAUUAGACCCGAAACCGAGUGAUCUAGCC